This 427-nucleotide ribosomal RNA is filed under the name uncultured bacterium. RNAcentral describes it as "bacterial SSU rRNA". It matches the Rfam family "Bacterial small subunit ribosomal RNA", at positions 355 to 774 of the family's 1533-position model. The record is from RNAcentral.
UAGGGAAUAUUGGACAAUGGGGGCAACCCUGAUCCAGCCAUGCCGCGUGAGUGAAGAAGGCCCUCGGGUUGUAAAGCUCUUUUGUCCGGAAAGAAAAGCUUCGGGUUAAUACCCCGGGGUUCUGACGGUACCGGAAGAAUAAGCACCGGCUAACUUCGUGCCAGCAGCCGCGGUAAUACGAAGGGUGCAAGCGUUACUCGGAAUUACUGGGCGUAAAGCGUGCGUAGGUGGUUGUUUAAGUCUGAUGUGAAAGCCCUGGGCUCAACCUGGGAAUGGCAUUGGAAACUGGGCAGCUAGAGUGCGGUAGAGGGUAGUGGAAUCCCCGGUGUAGCAGUGAAAUGCGUAGAGAUCGGGAGGAACAUCUGUGGCGAAGGCGACUGCCUGGACCAGCACUGACACUGAGGCACGAAAGCGUGGGGAGCAAACA